Molecule: non-coding RNA, 3746 nt
Organism: Cricetulus griseus (Chinese hamster)
Lineage: Eukaryota; Metazoa; Chordata; Mammalia; Rodentia; Cricetidae
Source: RefSeq, a predicted model, not a curated record
CGUGGAUGCUGGGAACUGAACCCAGAUCCAUGACAAGAGUAGCAAGUGCUUUUAACCAUGGAGCCACCAUUUUGACCCACAGAUUUUUGUUUAUUUGUUUUAAUUAAGAAACAGAUACCAUUUGUGUGAUUUUAAAAGUUCAAAACCUCCCAGGUGGUGGUGCAUGCCUUUGAUCCACCACUCCGGAGGCAGAGGCAGGCAAGUCUGUGUGCAUACAAGACCAGCCUGAUCUACAGAAUGAAUUACAGGACAGCCAGGGCUAUACAGAUAAACCCUGUCUUAAAAAAAAAAAAAAAGGAAAAAAGAAAGAAAAGAAAAGUUCAAAGCCUGUGUCACAGGGGAUGCUGAGCAAUGUGGCUCCUAGCUGCCUCACCCAGCCUCUUCAGCCCCCAUUCUGGGGCUGCCGGGAUCCUGAAGAGAACAGCCUUUUACCCUGUCUAGCUACAAAACCACGUGACUUAUCUGGAGCUCUGGAAAUCCCAGGGUCUGUGCUCAUCUUCUUUGAGCCCAAUCCACUAUCCUGUAGGUACCCUGUCCUCUUUCUGCCCAUCUCCCCUUCUGCUCUGACUUCCUUCCCUCUUGCCCCAGCUCAGUUGAGCCCUGUUCCUCCUGUCUGUCAGCCCAUCUACCCAACUCCAGCCUUAUGGGAUGCUGCUGCUAAUCACUCUUCUGGCUUUCCCUCCUGGACACACCAGAGCAAAUGUGGAGGAAUAUGCAUAUGAGCGCCGCUGCCCUUGGAGUCCAGAAGACGUGUCAGACGCCCUGGAGCUGGACUUACAGUGAGCCACCUUAUAGGUGUCCUGGGAACCAAAUUCUGGUCCUCUGCAAGAACAGAAUGUACUCUUAACUCCUGAGCCAUCUCUCCAGACCCCUGGAUAAAGUUUUUGAAUGAGUAAGCAACCCUGCCCACAUCUGGUUCUUUGCCACUUGUCGCUCAAAACUCGCUGUAGUAUGGCCCGUCACUGUCACUGUAAUCUGCAAAUAACCCCUGAAAGCUCACUGGUAGCUCUGCAAUUCCCUUCUUCUAGGCCACUGACCCCCUGGUUUUCCUCUUCAUUUCUCCUUUGCCAUCGCCACUGACUUCUGUGCCUCCUGCUUUCUGCACACAGGAAUCUCCUAGGAACUGGGCUCAGUUCUCAUCUAAUUCUGCCCUCUCUGGCAUGCCAACCACUUCCCUAGUUAUAACUAGCCAUCUGCUUGGGAGAAUCAGCUCCAAGUUCUAGUCUAGAAUGUCCAACUGCCUGCCAAGCAUCUAUGACAUCCCAGAACCAUCUCUAUCAUAACCAAAGCUUCCUCCUCCAUUCCCUAGCUCUAGCAAGCUCCAUCUCAGUCCCUCCACCAUGAUUUCAACCAAGCUCAGCCCUUAGGAGCUACUUUCCUCCUUCCUUCUUCCCCACCCAGCCCCCAAAACACAUCUACCAGGUCUUCAUUGGCCCUGUCUCUUGCCUACCUGUCCUGUGUUCUAUCCUUUCUGCCCUUCUGAUCUGUCCUUUCCCAAACCAUGUCACUUCCUCAUCCUGACUCUUUCUUGCCGCAUUCACAGACCCUACCUUAGCAACAGCCCUUGAACCCCAAGGCCAGCGUGACCACAUACUUUAAUAUUUAAACCAGGAUGCUUCUUUUUUGUUUUAUUUUUUGUUGUGUUUGUUUGUUUGUUUGUUUGUUUUGAGACAAGGUUUCUCUUCAUAGCCCUGGCUGUCCUGGAACUGGCUUUGUAGACCAGGCUGGCCUUACACUCAUAGAGAUCUGCCUGCCUCUGCCUCCUGAAUGCUGGGAUUGAAGGUACGCACCACCACCACAAAACUCAUUCCAGUACCUCACUGACCUUCAGGUCCUACCUUUUCAGCCUACCCAGCAGUGUUCUCAUGUAGUCCAUUGACCCAGCAAGUCACCAUGACUCGCACUGUCCCCCUCCAUCCUAUAUUCAUGCUGGUUCUUCCUUCAGAGCUCUUCGUCUCCCACUCUGCCUCCCAAACCCCAUCCUUAUCUCAAAGACCCAAGCCACAGCCUGUCCUUGAUGGCAUCUUCAUCCAUUUGUUGCACCGUGAGUUUCCUUAAUAAGUUUGCUUUUACCUUUAGCGUGCUCAGUGCUGCCAAACUGUGAGUGUACAGGGCUCUAUUUAGCUGGGAGGCUGCUUACCAUGUAGCUUGGCAUUAAAAGAUGAGCUGGGCCAGUCCAAUUCCCUCUCCUGGGAAUUUGAACUGUGAAAUACUGAGAGACUGGAGCAGUUAGCAGAGGUGAUGUAGAGGGAGACUCAAAGAGGCCGGCUGGUCAAAUGCAAGCCACAGUUAUGAGAAAUUAUGAGGAAACCCGGGGAAGCUUUCAUGAGGGUCAGAGUAGUUAUGAGCUGGAGCUCUGGAGGCCAACCUGAGGGGGAAUCCCGACUUUACCAUCUCCUGGCUUGAAUACAGACAGGUAACCUAACAUUCGGGAGCCUUUGUGUUCUUGUAUGUAAAAUGGGACAGCAAAAUUAGCUAACCUCACAGUAAGGCAAUUAACUGAGCAGAACAUGGACUCUUGAGUCUGACUCAGGGCAUGAAAAGGAUUAUUUCUUUUCCUCCCAUAGCAAUAGUAGUAAUAAUAACUAUUUAAUCAAUCAUAAUAUUUAAUUAAUAUUGCCAAUUAUUAAUUAACAAUAACAAUAAUUGAUAAUACUAAUGAGGAGAGAUACAUAUGGGGGGGGAAGGUCCCACGGAGUGCCUGGGUCUUACCAGAGCCCUCUCUGUCCCUUCAUGCCUUCCAUACCCACUUCCAAGGACAAACCAUAGACUCCAAACCAUAGCCACCAACAGCUCUCUUCUUGUUGCUUGGAUGGCCCCUAUGUCUUGCAAUGAGAGGGACCUGCCCAGACUACUGUUACCCUCUAGUGUCUAGGCUUAGACCCCUCACAGCCAAGGACAGUGGCCUGGCUGCUCCGUUCUCCUGCCUGACCUUGAACACAGCUGAUGCUUACUGGUUGGUGACUGAAGGUCAUCCAUGCCCUUCCUCGGGGACCUUUGGAAGGGCUGAUUGCAGAAGGCUCAGAAGUCCACAUGUACAGUGGUCUGCUGUGUCACAGCCCUGUCCUUCAGCCCAGAAAAGUAGAAGGGCCAGGACUAGGCUGUCCCCUGAAGGACUGACAGGUCAGGGUUUGCUCCGGAAUUCUAGUCUAGCCUCUGAGAUGCUCUCUCAACUCUCUCCUUCUUCAAUCACUCUGGUCCUAGGAUGAUGUCUAAGGGAAUCAGUCACUCUGGUCCUAGGAUGCAGUCUAAGGGAAUCAGUCACUCUGGUCCUAGGAUGUAGUCUAAGGGAAUCAGUCACUCUGCUCCUAGGAUGUAGUCUAAGGGAACCAGAAGGACAAUUGGAAAUGAACUGUACUAUGUCAGGUUGCCAAGCUGUGACCAAGGGCCAGGAUUGGUCCCCUCUCCUGUCUAGUUCCAUGCUCUCUGCUUCUCCUCCCAUCCAAACCUCUCUCCCAUCCACACUGGUCCAGUCUUUGACCAUCACCAGGCAGUUCCCUCUGGGAGGAUUAGGGUUAGACAGGGUUUUUCUUUGCAAAGCCCUCAUUCUGUGAACUCAUUCUGUAGACCAGGCUGGCCUCGAACUCACAAAGAUCCACCUGCCUCUGCCUCCCAAGUGCUGGGAUUAAAGCUGUGUGCCAUCAUCUGAUUUAAAGACAGUAAUAUUGUUGUUUGUUUUAUUAUUUUUUAAUAUUAGUGUUUUGCCUGCAUGUAUGUCUGUGUGAGGGUGUCAGGUUCCCUGGAAC